CUCACAAGAAGAAACAAGAGCCUCAAAUUUUGCUUCAGCUCCAGGAAAGAAAGAAAGAAAGAAAGAAAGACACAAAUGUGAAACACUCAAAAUUCUCAAUCUCUCUCUUUCUCUUUCUCUCAAUCGAUUCAAACUCUAAACCAUUGAACAUUGAAAAUCAAUGGCUUUUCUUCUAUCCAACUUCAAACCCUCUCUGCUACCUCAAUCCAAAUCGAUAACCAAAGAGAAACCCAUUCGCCAAACGUUAUCAUCAGCAAAACCCAUUUCCCAAAACCCUUCAUCUUCCACCUCGUUUUCUCCAUUGGAAACGCUCCAUAGUGUUUCUGCUCAGGUUGCUCAGGUGAACGCGCCACCAGGUGCUCAAGACAAGCAGCACCACCAGCAGCGUAAGGAUGAGUUCUAUGUCAAUCUUGGUCUUGCUGUCAGGACCCUCCGUGAGGACAUGCCUCUGAUUUUCGUCAAAGACCUCAAUUAUGACAUUUACAGGGAUGAUGUAACAUUCAAGGAUCCUUUGAAUACGUUUAGUGGUAUUGAGAAGUAUAAAUUGAUCUUCUGGGCAUUGAGGUUUCAUGGUAAAAUCUUGUUUCGUGAGAUUGCGCUGGAUGUGUACAGGGUAUGGCAGCCUUCUGAGAAUGAGAUAUUGAUCAGGUGGAACCUGAGGGGUGUGCCGCGGGUUCCGUGGGAGGCGAAGGGGGAAUUUCAGGGUACGUCGCGGUAUAAAUUGGAUAGGAAGGGGAAAAUCUAUGAGCACAAAGUUGAUAAUUUAGCAUUCAAUUUUCCACGGAGUAUCAAACCGGUGUCAGUUUUGGAUUUUGUUACUGCCUGCCCUGCAAGUCCAAAUCUAACAUUUUUAUGGGGUGCCGCCGCGGAUUCCAAUUCAUCUUCAUGGGUAGAGUUUUAUCAGGCAGUCAAGGACACAUUGGAUCAAGAAGGAGAGUUGCUACCGCAAGAUGGACUGGCUACUUGUUCAUAACAAUCUCUUAGUAAAUUGUCUCAUAGGUGAUGUAUACUAUAGAUUAUAACAGGUUAGAUGUAAUGGAUUUGGUCAAUCAUAUAAAAUGGGUUUUGCUCAAUGGUCAUCAAGAGUGUAUAUAGAUAGGGAGGGAUUCCGAAGCGUUCAAUUGCUCAUGCUGAUGUUGGUGGAAAUAAAGCUUCAUAUCCUUGUCGAGUUUAUACAGAGGAGGUUUGUCUAAGAUGUUUAUGGUUGAGGAUGGUGGAUUUUGCAUCUUGGGGGCAUGGCUGGCUGGCUUGCAGGGAAGAAGGAGAUGAGGGUGAAAUAAAAAGAGGAGGAAUGACUAAAAUAUCCUUGGUGCAAAGUCAAAUAUGCCCCUGGUGCACCGGUGGACCAAAAUAUAAAUGGUCCACCCUAGUGGGCACCGUUUAUUGUGAUAACAUGAGUACUACAGCUUGACUCAAAAUCCUAUUCUAAACACUCAGCACCAAAGCACAUGGAACUGAAUAUCUUCUUUGUUUGCGAGAAGGUCACUUGAACAAGAGCUUCAUUGUUCAACAUAUUCCCUCCCUGGAUCAAAAGGCAUACAUUUUUGCAAAGGCUCUUUAUACCUUGUGAUUUACUUCUCUCGGAGACAAAUUCAAUGUAGUUGACAAAUAUUCAUAUGUCAAGCCACCUUGAGUUUGCAGGGGCAUGUUAGAGCGUAUUGUAGUGAUAAA
RNA transcript from Lotus japonicus, 1671 nucleotides. RefSeq lists it as uncharacterized. Lineage: Eukaryota; Viridiplantae; Streptophyta; Magnoliopsida; Fabales; Fabaceae. The record is from RefSeq and is a predicted model, not a curated record. The transcript has 3 exons.